CCUACGGGAGGCAGCAGUGGGGAAUCUUGCGCAAUGGGCGAAAGCCUGACGUAGCAACGCCGCGUGAGGGACGAAGGUUUUCUGAAUUGUAAACCUCUUUCAGCAGGGAAGAUAAUGACGGUACCUGCAGAAGAAGCACCGGCUAACUACGUGCCAGCAGCCGCGGUGAUACGUAGGGUGCAAGCGUUGUCCGGAUUUAUUGGGCGUAAAGAGCUCGUAGGCGGUUUGGUAAGUCGGUUGUGAAAUCCCCAGGCUCAACCUGGGGCCUGCAUUCGAUACUGCCAUGACUAGAGUUUGGUAGGGGACCACGGAAUUCCUGGUGUAGCGGUGGAAUGCGCAGAUAUCAGGAGGAACACCAGUAGCGAAGGCGGUGGUCUGGGCCAAUACUGACGCUGAGGAGCGAAGGCGUGGGGAGCAAACAGGAUUAGAUACCCUGGUAGUCCACGCCGUAAACGGUGGGCACUAGGUGUGGGGACUAUUCAACGGUUUCCGCGCCGACGCUAACGCAUUAAGUGCCCGCCUGGGAGUACGGCCGCAAGGCUAAAACUCAAAGGAAUUGACGG
Molecule: ribosomal RNA, 563 nt
Filed under: uncultured bacterium
Lineage: Bacteria
Description: bacterial SSU rRNA
Rfam family: Bacterial small subunit ribosomal RNA
Source: RNAcentral